CAUUGUCUUGACAAGAGCAUCCUCAGCGGGCGAGUCCCCGGCUCCUCCAGCUCCUUCCUCCUCUUCCUCCUCCUCCUUCACCUCCGGCUUUUGGGGGGUCACUGUCCUCUCUCGGCAGCAGAAUGAGCCGGCAGGUGGUCCGCUCCAGCAAGUUCCGCCACGUGUUUGGACAGCCGGCCAAGGCCGACCAGUGCUAUGAAGAUGUGCGCGUCUCACAGACCACCUGGGACAGUGGCUUCUGUGCUGUCAACCCUAAGUUUGUGGCCCUGAUCUGUGAGGCCAGCGGGGGAGGGGCCUUCCUGGUGCUGCCCCUGGGCAAGGUGAGCCCCUGGGGCCCUGGGGGGAGCAGCUCCUCCACCAGACCCAUGGCUCUGUGCAGGUCCUGAUUAGGUGACGGUCACCAGGCCUUCCAGGGCCUGUGUUGCCAUCUGGAAAACUGAGCUGGGCCCCAUGAGCCUUACACUUCCUCCAGCUCCUCUGUGCUGUGGCUGUGUGGAAACUGACGCUCAGAAGGAGCCAACACAAGAUGGGUCACACCAGUGACCAGGACUACAGACAGUCCUGCAGACCCAUGACCAGCCCUCCUGAGCCUCAGCCUGGGGCUUUCUCCCCAUGGAAACACAGAGGGGGUUGGGAUGGGGUCUGGGGGCCCUGGCAGCGUUCUCAGGGUUGGGAGGGACUCUGGCUCUGGGCCUGUCUGAGGACCUAGCAACUCUGUCCCCCAGCUCGCAGGCAGGGAUGAUGCAAGAGGUGCUCUCCCCCACCCGCAGCCCUGCCCUCCCCUGGAGCCUGCUGCCCCCUCCGCUGGCUGGCUGCUGCCCCGCACCCCCAGCACACUCCUGUGCUCUUUGGGGGGUAAGACAGGAAGGGGAGAUGGGCCCCAAGUUGUUACCUUAAAAGGGCUGAUGGAAGCAAAGAGAAGAGGAAGUGGUUGUCGGGGUGAGAGCUGGGCCCGCGCCCCACAUGGCUGUCACACAGGAAGCCCUGCUGAAGCAGCUGUCCCCGGAAGAAGCCAUUUCCAAACCUCUGCUCCUGCCUGGGGCCAGUUGGGACAGGCUCCCUGGCCCCUCUCCUUUUGGGAGGACCCACCCCUGCAGCCCCACCACUCACACUCGCUCUCUGGGGAGCCGCCUCCACCCCCCCAGCCCCCAUACACCUGUCCUGGCUCCAGGGCCAGUUGUGCCCAUGGAAGCCUCACUCGGGGAAGCUGGGGUAGGGGUGCCAACCCUAAGGGCAGAGACAGACUGAGACAGAGACCGGCGGGAACUCUGCCAGGGUCUUGCACGGCCCCCAACCUCUGCCAUGCGUGGCCAGCCCUCCUGGGGUUUGCCCAGGCCAUUUUGGGACUGGAACAAGAGAAGAACAACCCGCCCCCGUCCCCACCCCAGGCCCUGGUCCAGCUCCCAGGGACACCACAGCUUUCCUCUCUGGGCCUCUCUGAAGGAGGUGUGGGGAGGUUGGAUUGGGUUUGGGAGGCAAAAGCACCUCCAAGGCCCUGCUGUGCCUUUAGACUGGACGUGUGGACAAGAAUGCGCCCACGGUCUGUGGCCACACAGCCCCUGUGCUAGACAUCGCCUGGUGCCCGCACAAUGACAACGUCAUUGCCAGUGGCUCCGAGGACUGCACAGUCAUGGUGUGGGAGAUCCCGGAUGGGGGCCUGGUGCUGCCCCUGCGGGAGCCCGUCGUCACCCUGGAGGGCCACACCAAGCGUGUGGGCAUUGUGGCCUGGCACACCACAGCCCAGAACGUGCUGCUCAGUGCAGGUUGUGACAACGUGAUCAUGGUGUGGGACGUGGGCACUGGGGCGGCCAUGCUGACACUGGGCCCAGAGGUGCACCCAGACACGAUCUACAGUGUGGACUGGAGCCGAGAUGGAGGCCUCAUUUGUACCUCCUGCCGUGACAAGCGCGUGCGCAUCAUCGAGCCCCGCAAAGGCACUGUCGUAGCUGAGAAGGACCGUCCCCACGAGGGGACCCGGCCCGUGCGUGCAGUGUUCGUGUCGGAGGGGAAGAUCCUGACCACGGGCUUCAGCCGCAUGAGUGAGCGGCAGGUGGCGCUGUGGGACACAAAGCACCUGGAGGAGCCGCUGUCCCUGCAGGAGCUGGACACCAGCAGCGGUGUCCUGCUGCCCUUCUUUGACCCUGACACCAACAUCGUCUACCUCUGUGGCAAGGGUGACAGCUCAAUCCGGUACUUUGAGAUCACUUCCGAGGCCCCUUUCCUGCACUAUCUCUCCAUGUUCAGUUCCAAGGAGUCCCAGCGGGGCAUGGGCUACAUGCCCAAACGUGGCCUGGAGGUGAACAAGUGUGAGAUCGCCAGGUUCUACAAGCUGCACGAGCGGAGGUGUGAGCCCAUUGCCAUGACAGUGCCUCGAAAGUCGGACCUGUUCCAGGAGGACCUGUACCCACCCACCGCAGGGCCCGACCCUGCCCUCACGGCUGAGGAGUGGCUGGGGGGUCGGGAUGCUGGGCCCCUCCUCAUCUCCCUCAAGGAUGGCUACGUACCCCCAAAGAGCCGGGAGCUGAGGGUCAACCGGGGCCUGGACACCGGGCGCAGGAGGGCAGCACCAGAGGCCAGUGGCACUCCCAGCUCGGAUGCCGUGUCUCGGCUGGAGGAGGAGAUGCGGAAGCUCCAGGCCACGGUGCAGGAGCUCCAGAAGCGCUUGGACAGGCUGGAGGAGACAGUCCAGGCCAAGUAGAGCCCCGCAGGGCCUCCAGCAGGGUCAGCCAUUCACACCUAUCCACUCACCUCCCAUUCCCAGCCACAUGGCAGAGAAAAAAAUCAUAAUAAAAUGGCUUUAUUUUCUGGU
Molecule: small RNA, 2809 nt
Filed under: Pan troglodytes (chimpanzee)
Lineage: Eukaryota; Metazoa; Chordata; Mammalia; Primates; Hominidae
Description: retained intron
Source: RNAcentral